Molecule: ribosomal RNA, 274 nt
Filed under: uncultured bacterium
Lineage: Bacteria
Description: partial 16S ribosomal RNA
Rfam family: Bacterial small subunit ribosomal RNA
Source: RNAcentral
AUACGGAGGGUGCAAGCGUUGUCCGGAUUUAUUGGGUUUAAAGGGUGCGUAGGUGGCGUGUUAAGUCAGUGGUGAAAGCCUGCAGCUCAACUGUAGAGGUGCCAUUGAUACUGACAUGCUUGAGUAUGGACGAGGUAGGCGGAAUUUGUGGUGUAGCGGUGAAAUGCAUAGAUACCACAAAGAACACCGAUAGCGAAGGCAGCUUACUGGAACAUAACUGACACUGAGGCACGAAAGUGUGGGUAGCGAACAGGAUUAGAAACCCUAGUAGUCC